This is a long non-coding RNA of Leopardus geoffroyi (Geoffroy's cat), 808 nucleotides long. RefSeq lists it as uncharacterized. The record is from RefSeq and is a predicted model, not a curated record. Lineage: Eukaryota; Metazoa; Chordata; Mammalia; Carnivora; Felidae. The transcript has 2 exons.
AUUUUUAAGAAGAGGCACCAGUGAACUUGCUGGUUCUCUCUCACCGCUAUUUGAAUACAAAGCAAGAAGGUGGCCAUCUGCAAGCUAAGAAGUGUACCCUCAAAGAACCCAAUUAUGCAGGCACCCUGAUCUCCAGACUAUGAGAAAUUAUUUCCAUUGUAUAAGCCAUCCAGUGUAUAGAAUUUUAUUAUAGAAGCCUUGGCAGACUAAGAUACCCUACAAACGAGAAUUUCUACUCUACUGUGAAACUUGUUAUAAUUCUUUCACUAACGAACCAUUCAUCAUUAUUUUUUCAUAACACUAAUGUGUUUUUUGAAAGCAUCUAAAAGGAGAAGACUUUGAGAUGCUUGUUUUCAAGAACCUUAAAACUUGAAGAAAUAUCACAUGUACUUGUGGACAGCUAGAGAGCAAUUCUGAAGUUAUAUAAACAAGUAUACAGGCUAUAUAUACAUAAAUGCUAAAUACAAAGUGAGACAUUUCUGGAAGAGAUUAGCAUUUGAAUCAGACUGACUAAAGAAGAUUAGCCCUCACCAGUGUGGGCAGGCAUAAUUCAACUGCUGAUUGGAGGGCCCAAAUACAUCAGAAAUGCAGAGCAAGUGGGGAGUUCGCUCUUGCUCUUCUUCAACUGAUAUGUCCAUGUUUUCAUGCCCCCUGAAAUGGAGCUCCUGGUUCCCAGACUUUGGACUAGGACUGAAUUAAAUCACCAGGUUGCCUGGUUCUUCAGCUUACAGAAGGCAGAUUAUGAGACUUUUCAGCUUCCAUAACUGUGUGAACCGAUUCCUACAAUAAAUGUCUUGCUGUAUCUACA